AUUGGGUUGCCCAAAAAGUUCAUUUGGGUUUUUCGGUAAGAUGUUAUGAAAAAACCCAAACGAACUUUUUGGCCAACCCAAU
Molecule: microRNA precursor, 82 nt
Organism: Tursiops truncatus (common bottlenose dolphin)
Lineage: Eukaryota; Metazoa; Chordata; Mammalia; Artiodactyla; Delphinidae
Source: Ensembl